Molecule: small RNA, 680 nt
Filed under: Pongo abelii (Sumatran orangutan)
Lineage: Eukaryota; Metazoa; Chordata; Mammalia; Primates; Hominidae
Description: retained intron
Source: RNAcentral
UGGUAUCCCUUGGCAACUGGCGUGGCCUCCCCUCACAGAUGGCUUCUGGGAGGCCCUGGGCGGGAAGUCUGCCUACCGCACCUCCCCACGGCUGAAGGACAAGAAGAUGGAUGCCCAUCCUCCUCGCCUCUUUGCCUGCUCCAACAAGAUUGGACGUUUUGUGGUGAGCCCCUGCGGAGGUCACACCUCUGCUUUCCCCUCGGGAGGCGAGUUCCACAGGACUGGCCGGCAGCAGGGGCAGGAGAAACAGUUCUGACGGCAUGGCACAGAGGAAGGGGCCCCCUGCCAGCUGCAGUCAGCUGUGCCACUCCCUCAGGGGGCAGAUAGAGGAAGCCCACCCAGGGGAGGGAAGACAUCUCGCUGAUGCUCUUUCGUUCCUUCCCAGAUCGAAGAGGUUCCUGGUGAGCUCAUGCAGGAAGACCUGGCUACGGAUGAUGUCAUGCUUCUGGACACCUGGGACCAGGUCUUUGUGUGGGUUGGAAAGGAUUCUCAAGAAGAAGAAAAGACAGAAGCCUUGACUUCUGCUAAGCGGUACAUCGAGACGGACCCAGCCAAUCGGGAUCGGCGGACGCCCAUCACCGUGGUGAAGCAAGGCUUUGAGCCUCCCUCCUUCGUGGGCUGGUUCCUUGGCUGGGAUGAUGAUUACUGGUCUGUGGACCCCUUGGACAGGGCCAUCGCUG